This 393-nucleotide ribosomal RNA is filed under the name uncultured bacterium. RNAcentral's name for it is "partial 16S ribosomal RNA". It matches the Rfam family "Bacterial small subunit ribosomal RNA", at positions 523 to 918 of the family's 1533-position model. The record is from RNAcentral.
AUACGGAGGAUGCGAGCGUUAUCCGGAUUUAUUGGGUUUAAAGGGUGCGUAGGCGGGCUGUUAAGCGUGAGGUGAAAGCUCGGGGCUCAACCCCGGAACUGCCUCGCGAACUGGCGGUCUUGAAUGUCCGUGCCGUGGGAGGAAUGUGUGGUGUAGCGGUGAAAUGCAUAGAGAUCACACAGAACACCGAUUGCGAAGGCAUCUCACAAAUCCGUGAUUGACGCUGAGGCACGAAAGUGUGGGGAUCAAACAGGAUUAGAUACCCUGGUAGUCCACACUGUAAACGAUGAUGACUCGCUGUCGGCGAUAUACAGUCGGUGGCCAAGCGAAAGCGAUAAGUCAUCCACCUGGGGAGUACGACCGCAAGGUUGAAACUCAAAUGAAUUGGCGGGG